Molecule: ribosomal RNA, 253 nt
Filed under: uncultured bacterium
Lineage: Bacteria
Description: partial 16S ribosomal RNA
Rfam family: Bacterial small subunit ribosomal RNA
Source: RNAcentral
UACGAAGGGGGCAAGCGUUGUUCGGAAUUACUGGGCGUAAAGGGCGCGUAGGCGGCUUAUCAAGUCAGGCGUGAAAUUCCCGGGCUCAACCUGGGGGCUGCGCUUGAUACUGAUUGGCUUGAAUGCGGGAGAGGAUAGUGGAAUUCCCAGUGUAGAGGUGAAAUUCGUAGAUAUUGGGAAGAACACCAGUGGCGAAGGCGGCCGACUGGGCCGAUCCUGACGCUGAGACCCGAAAGCCAGGGUAGCGAACCGG